Molecule: non-coding RNA, 1767 nt
Organism: Aegilops tauschii subsp. strangulata
Lineage: Eukaryota; Viridiplantae; Streptophyta; Magnoliopsida; Poales; Poaceae
Source: RefSeq, a predicted model, not a curated record
CCCUCCAAUCAUUGUCAUCUUUGUUCUCGCUCGAACUUUCUUCAUCCUCAGCUCCACGUUCUCUCACCUUCACCGAAGCAAUUCCAGUUAUCAUCGCCGCAUCUAGGUCUCCGAGCAAGCUCCACUCGUCCAACCUCCCCGCCAGAUGAUCGCCUCCAUCGCUACCCCGAUGGGCCGCGCCACCACUACAACCCCCGGUGCCCAGUCCCGGUGGCCGUGUGCCGUUGCGCAGCUCCACCUGGCUCUCCGCUCGCCAGCCGCGCGGAGUGGUAGCAGCGGGCACUGGAUGGGAUGCUUCAGGCCGGCGCCGGUGCCCGCGCCGUCGUCACCAGCGGUUACGGUGGCGGUGAACGAGGGGAGGGGGAAGCGGCCGGAGGCAACGGAGGUGGAUAUGGAGCCGGCACGCGGCGGAGGGGAGGACUUAUGGAGCGUUCAGGCCGAGGCGGAGGUAGCGCAGGGCGGGGAGUACCCGGAGCACCUUGUCAUCAUGGUCAAUGGCCUCGUGGGGAGUGCGGAUGACUGGAAGUUUGCAGCUGAUCAGUUUGUGAGGCGGAUGCCAGACAAAGUGAUCAUCCACCGGAGUCAAUGCAACUCUGCUACACAGACAUUUGACGGAGUUGACUUGAUGGGAGAAAGGUUAGCAAACGAGGUUCUAUCAGUUGUCGAGCAAAGAAGAGGUGUGAAGAAGAUCUCAAUUGUGGCGCACUCUCUGGGUGGUCUUGUUGCCAGAUAUGCUAUAGGAAGGCUUUACGAAUGUAGUAACAGAACUAAAUGUUCCAUUGGGAACAACAGAGAGCAAGUUGAAUGCUUGGAGGGUCUCAUUGCCGGCUUAAAACCUAUGAACUUUAUAACCUUUGCAUCACCACAUCUGGGUUCAAGUGGAAACAAACAGCUCCCCUUUCUAUGUGGCUUGCAUUUUCUGGAGCGAAGAGCAUCAGAAACUGCACAUUUGAUUGUUGGAAGAACUGGAAAGCAUUUAUUCCUUACAGACAGUGAUGAUGGUAGGCGUCCACUCCUUCUUCAAAUGGUUCAGGAUCAUGAUGAUAUAAAAUUCAGAUCCGGAUUGCGCUCUUUCAAACGACGUGUGGCAUAUGCGAAUGCCAAUUUUGACCGUAUCCUUUUAACUGAUGAAAUUUCAACUCUGAAAAGAUAUGGUGGGUUGGAGAACAUCGUCAAUCCGGCGUCAACACGAGUUGCCAAAACAUCGCCUUCUUGUUCGUGAUGAGAAGUAUCCACAUAUAGUCCAUGUUGAUAGAGGAAUUAUGGACAGAAAUGAAACCGAAGUGAGUGCUAAUCUCUGUGGCCCAGAAGAGGAGAUGAUAAGAGGCCUAACACAACUGCAGUGGGAACGUGUUGAUGUGAGCUUCCAGAAAAGUAGUCAAAGAUUGGUUGCGCAUAACACCAUCCAGGUAAAGAGCUAUUGGCUUAACUCAGAUGGGGCAGACGUUAUCAGUCACAUGAUGGAUAAUUUCCUCGUCUAGUUCAUGAACUCCACAGGGUGCACUGUGCCAAUAUUCGUGUCUGAGUUUGGUUACAAGUGAUAGUUCAAUUUUGGGUAGGCGGUUUGACCUUGUAGGUUGUACAAUUUUCAUUCUACACUGAGAUAUCAAAAUUGAUUCUUUAGGUUUCUUGUGCUGCAGAUGUUAGACUACAACUUUUUUCUUUUAUCCACAAUCCGCCUCUACCAUUUUAUUGUAUAGUGAAGUUGAACACUAUUGUGUGCUACUUCCUCCAUUCCAAAUUAAUAGAAGUUCUAGCUUUGUCUUA